UCCAGUAUAGGUUUAGUUAGCGUUUCAUCGCAUAUUUGGGUUAUUUAACAAAAAAUAUGGUUAAGAGGUGUAAUCACGGACUUUGUAAUAGUGACGACAGGUAUCCUGAAAGGCUAGUUGGUGGAGUUCGAUUCGUACCCUUUCCAAAACCGAAGACCCAGUACGAAAAAUGCCUUCGAUGGAACUUUGUGGAAGACCGCAUCAUCAACUAAAUCCAUCUAAUAUCAACCGGAACAGAUAUGUUUGCACGAAGCGCACGUGGCGUGACGUCACUUCAGGAGGCGUGGUUAAGUGCCCUGUACGGAGGGGUCAAUUGGCUGGCAACCAGUUCAGGGUCUACCCUGCCUCCUGCACGAUGAUUGGGAUUGGCUCUGGCACUCCUGCGACCCCUGUGAGGAUAACCGACUCCGAAGAUGGGCUCGGAGAGAAAAUAAAAACUCCUUCAACAAUGUGGCCCUUGCAUCAGCUCCCCGGCAAGAUCUUGAACGGAUCAGCAGCCCGUGUGCAGCACGGCGGGUGGAGUUCAUCUGUCAGCAGCUAAACUCGUCAGCCUAAUGAGGCAGUUACUGUACGGCGAUGACUCCUCACUCAGAAGCUUGUCUUGGUACACGGCAGAGUCUCACAUUUCAAGGAGGCCAAAAAUAACAUUUACCUCUCUCAUAAAAGAAAAAAAAACUCACAAACUCACUCCACCCAAAGAAUAAUCCAAAAACCUCUCAUGUACAACAAAAAGUUUUCAAUUCAGCCAAAUAAUGUUGUUAAAGUCACCCUAAAAAUCCCUACAAAUGGUACAAAAAAAUAACUAACCAUGAAAAUAAAAAAUGCUUAAUCAUAACAACAGAAAUAACAACAGAAAAUCUCACUCAAAUAACCUGGAACAGUCACUAAAACUCUCACCUCACCAGAACAAAACAAAAAAAACUCACAUACAGCAAAAAAACCUUGAUGUCUCUUAAAUAUUCUCUCACUCACCCAAAAAAACACUCAUUUGCACCAAAAAUGUUUGACUUGCACCCCAAAAACUCACAUUCAACCAAAAACACUCACCAAAAACCUCUCACGCUUCAAAAAAUCAUCCUCUUACAUUUUAGUCUGAUCUUCCUUUCUUGCAAUUUUUUUUAACCCUCACUUGGUUUUUGUUCAAAUUUGAUUUUGAUUUGAUUCUUUAUGAAUUGUGUGAGAGGAUUUUUUUUUUUCAGUAUGUGUGAGGAUUAAUGGGUGUGUGUGUGUUGUGUGCAUGCACAUUUUUUGGGGGUGUGAAUGUGAGACCUGUAUACUUUUUUCAGGUGCGAGAGAGUUUUUGAGGUUUACUGUAAGCGGUACAUAAACGCCACGGUUGGCCUACACAGACGGCACCUCAUCCUCUCACACCCGAUUUGCUGCGACACUGGGAAUUUGGUGAGACAAUUGAAAGCCGGUGAACUUUGUACGCAGGAGCUUCGACAUACAGAUUGUGAUUCACACGUGCUCACACACUUCCACACAAGAGCGUACAAAGCUGUCUUUGUCGACCAGUGGCAGCCGCUCAGUCAUUGCUAACUAAAUGUAAAAAACAUGUCCGCAGUGUGUUUACAUGUACAUGUGUCAUGUCCCAGUCUGCGCUGUUCUCCACUUCCCCCAACUUUAACUCUUGACUAAUGCGUGAUCAUGUGUCAGCCGUGACUUUAUAUGUGGAAGUCACUUCCUGUGUGGAUAAUACUUUUCAGGGCGCUCUUACCCAUCGACAAGCAAGUGAUCAACUUUAUGCUGUUGAUGAUUUGGAAAAGUUUCCCGGCAUUGUCUUCUGGGUAUCCAUUGUGGGAGUUUAUAGUAUGAUUUUUAAAAGAAAAAUGAACUGCUUCCAACAGCGGUGUCACAAACGUGGUCUACUUGCACUUGGAUGAACUGAAUUUAGCACAGUAAAUGUAUGACCUUUAAUAUAAAUGUUUUCUUGUUUUG
Syngnathoides biaculeatus (alligator pipefish) is the source of this 1938-nucleotide long non-coding RNA. RefSeq lists it as uncharacterized. The transcript is spliced from 3 exons. NCBI's taxonomy places the organism in Eukaryota, Metazoa, Chordata, Actinopteri, Syngnathiformes, Syngnathidae. The record is from RefSeq and is a predicted model, not a curated record.